RNAcentral lists this transfer RNA (69 nucleotides) under Ictidomys tridecemlineatus (thirteen-lined ground squirrel). RNAcentral describes it as "Spermophilus tridecemlineatus (thirteen-lined ground squirrel) tRNA". It matches the Rfam family "tRNA". From Rfam's summary of the family: Transfer RNA (tRNA) molecules are approximately 80 nucleotides in length. Their secondary structure includes four short double-helical elements and three loops (D, anti-codon, and T loops). Lineage: Eukaryota; Metazoa; Chordata; Mammalia; Rodentia; Sciuridae. The record is from Rfam by way of RNAcentral.
GGGGUUGUGGCUCAGUGGUAGAGCGCUUGCCUUGCGCACAUGAAGCACUGGGUUCAAUCCUCAGCACCA